This is a non-coding RNA of Ciona intestinalis (vase tunicate), 2217 nucleotides long. Lineage: Eukaryota; Metazoa; Chordata; Ascidiacea; Phlebobranchia; Cionidae. The record is from RefSeq and is a predicted model, not a curated record.
UUACCCCACCUUACUAAAUGUGACGGGUCGCGUAGUCGUACGUCACAUGUAGGUAUAAUUAAUGACACCGGGCAGCGCGGAAAACCAACAGCAAACGCAGCAGUUAUCCACAAUAUACCGAGAAACACUGAAUUUUACUUCCGCGUUCACUUUGUCGUAACAGGCUUGGUUAGGUUUCGAGUGGAGAACUGAUAUAUGUGAUAGAAUGCGGUGCAUAAAUAAGAGAAGUUGAUGUAGUACUUCAGAGUGAUGUAACAUCGGUUUUGAUGAAGAGAAGUUACUAAAAACGCCGCGACAGAGCAAAUAGAGAUAAUCGCUUACAGCGGUUCUCACGCAUGAAUACUUCUAGCGUUAAUUUGUAAAACGAAUUGACCAUAGCGCUUGAAUCAACAAAAGACGAAUCAACGCGACAAACAAAAGUCGUAGGUGGUUUUAUUAACAGAUUCCAUCGCACAUUUGCGCUGAAACGGCCAAUACAAAAGGCUAAGUCGACGGUUCUUCCGCGAAGGCUGAAACUUGAACGCAAGUGAAGGUCGCUUAGUAUUGUUAAACAGACGGAAAAGGAGAAAAGUGAAAGAUGAGAUCGGUUAAAGUGGCGUAAGUGUCCACGGUUAAAAAUGAGUUAACAUUCUUGCAAGGGUAAACGUAAGCAGAAUAAUAACUGCAGUUGAAGCCUUUGAUUGGUAGGUGCAGGAUUAUAAGCAGCUACGCUUGACUCGCAUGGGCAAGCAUGUAAAACCGUUGUGGUUUGAAGAGGUUCUGUAUAUAAUUGUCAAGUUAUGUGAUGCGUCGAACAGACACGCACGUUGCCGAGAUAUGCUAGUUUACUUGGUAGUAUAGAAUAGGCGUCCUGUGGUGUACAGGUAUUCCAUCAUUUCCGCGUAUUGUAGCUGCAAAUUAUGACGUGUAUGUAUAUAGCUGCUUAAACAGUGACUAAUCGCAAGUGUGCAUUGAAACAGAGUAUAGCCAUGAGUAAGAUAAGCUUUGGAUAUUGGGAUAUUCGUGGUAGAGGGCAAUCUAUUCGGCUCAUGCUUGAAUAUCUGGCAUUAGAUUAUGAAGAAGUUCGUUAUCCUCGUGGCGACGCACCUGAGUUCGACUGUAGCGAAUGGCUUGCAGCAAAACCGAACUUGAACCUGGAGUUUCCAAAUGUGCCAUACCUAGUUGACGGUGAAGUGCGGAUAACAGAAAGCUGGGCGAUUAUGAAGCACCUUGGGUAUAAAGGUAACCUUAUGCCAGAGACAGUGGCGCAGCGAAUCAGAUGCGAUAUGGCAGAAGGUGUAUUGGAGGAUUUUCGUGUACGGUUUGCUCGCUUGUGCUACAACCCGAAUUUUGAAAAUCUCAUCGAAGAAUAUUUGACGUUCAUGAAUACAAAGUUGGUUUAUUUUGAUGGUUUCUUGAAGGAGGCGAAAUGGUUGUCUGGGCAGAAACUCACUUAUGUAGAUUUUCUGUUUUGCGAGGUUUUGGAUCAAAUUAGACUUUGCUUUCCAGGAUGUUUGAAACCAUAUGAUAACGUAACGUCAUAUCUAGAGCGGUUUGACUCACUGGAAGGCAUCGUUGCAUACAGGACAUCAGAUCGUUACCGAAAGUUCCCAAUAAACAGCAAGAUUGCUGCAUGGCGGGGAAUGGAAGAGCGGAAAGUGUAGAAGAGAAUGCAGUUUAUAGAUAAACCGCAGUUGUAACUUCAUCCCCGCUUUAGAAGUUGAAACUGAAUGAUGACACCACACUUGUUAAGCAAUACGUUGUUUACUUUUCGUGCACGUAUAUGUAUAUAUUUAUAGUAGGGGGGGUUGGACAUAUGCUCAUUCUAUGUUUCGCCCCAUGUAGUAGUAAACAAAGAAAAUUCAAAGGUUUAUAAAACCCAUAUUCCCGCGACUCCAAAUGUUAUUUGUUUAAAACACGACCAGGGUAUUUGGAUAUUAUGUGAUAAAGAUGUUCCAUCUUCCUCCAACCAACUAAAUGUGUUUAUUCUUAACAAGUAUAGUUUUUAAUGUAUUUUUAUUUAUAUCUAGUUUGAUUUACGUUUAUCAGCAAAAAUAAACUCCGAUCGAAAACAAGUUACCCUUGUAUACACAAUACCCCAGCUACCCCGGGUUAAAACCACAGUUCCGCCGGCUUCGAGCGCAUGAUCUCCCGCCGGUUUACCCUGAUCUUCGAUGGGCACACAGUCACGCAGGGUAUUACUAUAUCAAAUUACCAAAUUUAGUGAUUUGACAGACA